GAUCCCAUUACGGCCGCGCCGCUUCUCUCAGGAGGAGCGAGGUCUGGGUGGGAUGGUGUCGCCAGCCCCGGGGUGAUGCGUGGGCGAAGCGGGAUUGUGUCACUCGCUCCCCCGGAGUGAACUAAUGGGCCACGACUCAGCGAGUGCAACCCCCGCGUUAUCCCAUCCGCCUGGGAGGAGCCGCUCCGUCACAACAUGGCGGGCACUGCCGCGUCACGGCCCGCCCAGGCUGUCACGGCGCUGUCGCGGGUCGGGCGGGCCGGGGAGAUCGCGGGCGAAGAGCUGCUGGUGUGGUGCAGAAUUACCUGUGCUUAAGGUGUAGGUAGAGAUGGAAAUUGUGGUCAUGACAUGGACAAUAUUUACAUGACUAUUUCCCUCAAAGUGCUGUCCAGAAUUGAUAAAGGCUCAAGAGCAGACUUUGAUUUCUGGAAACCCUAUUACUGACUUCCUUCACCAAAGGUUCUUAAAGAGACUUGGUUGCCAUGGAAGAUUAACGUAAAUCCUUAUUAAAAACAGAAUAAGGAAUAAAAGGUUUUUACAGUAAAAUCCCACAUAGUUCUGUGCUGGGAUUUGCACUGUUGAGCAUGCUCAUUUUAGUUUUUUAGUAUUUUUGCUCUUUUAUAAUUUCUACUAGUUUUUGCUUAUAUUACCCCUCUUUAUUUCCUUACAGGUUCCAUAAUUUGAUGUCCUUUCCCUCUCAGGCAGUGUCGUAUCCCAACAUCAGUCGCUUCCUGCCAGUGUAAAACCCGGGAAGCCGGUGAGGGUGAGGCCCAGUGAGGUGACCAGAGUCAGGUACAGUCCUGUGACCACCAGGCAGGUGCACAGUGACGAGGCAGCUCUGAGGCCAAGGUGGGAAUUCAGUCCACAGGGCACGGUCCACAUCCAUGGGGUCCCUGGACAGGCACAGGCACGACUGUGACACUGCUGCACCCAGGGCUGAGGUGGAACAGAAGGGAUGGGUGGAGGCACCAGGUGAGGCUCAGGGUUGCUCCUCUUUCAAAAGCAUCCAGAAAUUAUUAUUCCUAAGGGAUGGCAGUGCAGGAAAGGUGUUAUUGAGAGUGUGGCUGGUGCAGGGAGCAUGGCUGAGAUCCGUGUAAAAACAAGGCAGGCUGUGCAGGUCUGGUAAUCUGGGAUUAUGUCAGGAGAGAUCGGCUCACCCAUGUGCUCCUGGCUGCUGCAUCCAGGUCAGACGGCUGGCUCGGGUGAGGGAGCACUCACCCAGACAAACUAGUGUCAGCACACAGCAAGGGUUUGUCUGAACCUGCAGAGAAAUAAAAUACAGCUGCAGACAGAUCUGUGCAGCUCUUCCACAUUUUUCAGGGCACAUCAGGAACACCACAGCACUGUCCAGCCAUGCCGGGAGCUCAGCCGUGGGGCAGAAGUGUAACAAAGGGAUCUCUGUGCCUGAUGCAGAAUAAGGUGGUUUGGGUUUAUUUUUUAAGCCUGGUUGGAGAUUUCUUCAUGAGCUGCAGCUUUUGUGAAUGUCUGUCAUCACAUUCUGGGUUAGUGCCAAUCAAGGAUUAUGACCUAUAUUAACAUCCUAGAAACUGGGCAGGCCAGCCAGGACUCCACCUCAUGGCAGGACUGCAGCUCAGUCUCCUGAUGUCUGAUAUCCACUGUUACUGCAUUUUAAAGUCAGGUUAAAUUACUUCUCACAAGAGGGACUUAUUUAAAAUGUGCCCACUCCUUUUGAUAGUGUAUCUCUUGCCUUCUUGACAAAGCAUCUGACAAUCUCUCAGUGAGGGCUAUUUAACUUUCUUAACAAAACAGAAGAAUGGCAUUUGCUACAAUUAUUUAACUGCUAUUCAUAAAAAUAAAAUAGAUUCCUAAGGGGUUGGUUUUAUGUUCAGUGACACUUACAUCAUCGUAUCCAGUAAUAUGAACAGUAUUCAGUUCAGACAUUACUUGGUGGCUUGCUCAAGAAAGCUCCAUAUCCAGACACUGGAAUUUUCCCAUACCUUUUGUGGCACAUAUGCAUCUCACUGGUAGUUUAAAAAUAGUGUUGUUGGAAAAUCCUAAUAUACAGGACUGGAUCUUAAAAGGGGUUUUCUAAGCACUUGGAAAGACAGACAUCAGGAUGUGAAAACACCAAACAGUGACCCUUAGUGGUUAGUUGUGUACCUUGCACGUUUCUUGCCAUUAGAAAACAUAAGAUAAAAAACAUUCCUCAGCUUUUCAGUCACGUUUAGCAGCUUGAUGGAUUUGAUUUAUGGAAGUCUGCACCUCCCAAGCAUCUUUCAAAGCUUUUUCAAAAGCUUUAGGAACAUCCCAUAAGCCCCGUGGUGUUCUGUGGUGCCGAGGCACGUUUGAAUUUUUCAGAUAUACAAACUAGAAACGAAUUCCCAAAAUGCGUGCAGUGAAUUAUUACACAAUACAAACUGAUUUGAUACGUGCUGUAUUCCCUGGGCCACACAUCCCUUCAUGUCCUGUCACAGUCUCUUACACCUUCCUGGCAUAAACACUCCCACUUCUUUUGAGUCAAGCUCUAUGUGUAUUGGAAGUUAUUCUGUUUCCAUGAAAAAGGCAUUGACUAUCUGUUUAUUCUCCACAUUUGGCCAAAUUAAAAUUUAUGGUAAUCAAAUGGAGUUUAUUCAACAUAACACCUAAAAAUCAUAAAAUAUGAAUUAAAAAGCCAUUAAUGUGAACUGUAGUUGUGUGACGUUCUCACUGCCUUGCUGGUCUCGUGCAGGUUUGUGUUUCCCAACUGCUUUUCCCUGCAGAUGCUCCAUAGUACUUUCCAGGUCAGUUAUACCCCGAGGGAAAUGGGAGCAAUGCCAUGAUGAUGAAUGUGAAAUUUUUCACUCUGUAACUGAAGUAUCUGUUUUGUAAAAUACUUUGAAUUAAUUUGGCUGUUCUAGGAGAUGAAAUUCGUUAGAAUCUGUUAUUAUCAAAACAGUAGGAAUUUGGGAUAUUUCAUAUAUUAAUUCUGAAAAUUAAUACCUUUUACAAGAGUAUAUUCAUUGAAGGAGUCUUGUAUUCAGGCUUUACUGAAAGGUGGCAAUAUUUUCACAGGGAAUAAGCAUCUUUCAAGUAUUUUCACAUUAGAUGGAAAUACUUUCAUCACUUGAGGCCCUUCUUGGAAGUCAUUCAACUAUGAGAACAUUUGCUUUAAAUAAAAGACUGUUUAAGCCAGUGGGAUUCCUGGAAUUCCUGAGCCGUUUAUGCUCUUCUUUACACUUUUCUUAGCACAUCUUAACUCACUGAACAUUUCCCUCUCCCCACAGAUUUAAUACUGGUAAGAAAUAGUCAUCUCAUUAAAACUAUGAAGGCUUGGGCUGGCAUUUCUAGUCUGUUUUAUGGUUAAUUUAGUUUUGACUGGAGUAGUUUCUGGGGUCCUUGGUUACAAACUUUCAGGUGCAGUUAUCUUAGCCCAUGUGAUACAGCGAGUGUGUGCAUGCAGAGUAAAAAUGCAUCCACACUUUCUACACAGAAUAAUAUUUAGUUUAUUAUAGCAGUUUCAGAAAAAAAUAGCAACUGCUUAUACAAAUAUUAUUUAGGGUUUCUCAUAUGUCAGUGAAAUAGGCAUUGAUAAACUUUAAGAGAAAAGAUGGAAAUAGAGCCACAGAGCCAAUAGCUGUGAUAGCUCAUUAAAUUCCAUAAAAAGCUAUACUGGAGACAAAGCAGGUCAGAGGUGGAAAACUACCUACCUGUGCUCAUAAAAGAGACCAGGUCUUGGAAUUGUACCUUUUGGCCCUGUACAGCAGGAAAGUAAAUGGUUAACAUUUUAAGGAAUGAUCCGCUUCGAUUAUCUCAGGGCAACAGCUCAGAAUCAGGAACUUUUAAGAGCAG
Long non-coding RNA from Chiroxiphia lanceolata (lance-tailed manakin), 3789 nucleotides. RefSeq lists it as uncharacterized. The record is from RefSeq and is a predicted model, not a curated record. NCBI's taxonomy places the organism in Eukaryota, Metazoa, Chordata, Aves, Passeriformes, Pipridae. The transcript is spliced from 2 exons.